This 176-nucleotide non-coding RNA is filed under the name uncultured Ruminiclostridium sp. RNAcentral's name for it is "Lysine riboswitch". It matches the Rfam family "Lysine riboswitch aptamer". Rfam says of the family: Riboswitches are metabolite binding domains within certain messenger RNAs that serve as precision sensors for their corresponding targets. The record is from RNAcentral. Lineage: Bacteria; Bacillati; Bacillota; Clostridia; Eubacteriales; Oscillospiraceae.
UAAGAUAGAGGUGCGGCUUCGAUAAGUACCGUCGGCGGCAAUUUUUCAGCAAAUUGCCGGCGGGAAAGGCAAAUCCGCCGAAGAGUAUGCAGGCUGUAAUGCAUAUAUCUGGUUGUGCGCUGAAUAAGCGUAUGAUUGUCAUCACAAUCCGUUAACGGACGAUGGAGAGCUAUCGG